Molecule: ribosomal RNA, 429 nt
Filed under: Actinomycetes bacterium
Lineage: Bacteria; Bacillati; Actinomycetota; Actinomycetes
Description: Actinobacteria bacterium partial 16S ribosomal RNA
Rfam family: Bacterial small subunit ribosomal RNA
Source: RNAcentral
UAGGGAAUCUUCCGCAAUGGGCGAAAGCCUGACGGAGCAACGCCGCGUGAGUGAUGAAGGUCUUCGGAUCGUAAAACUCUGUUAUUAGGGAAGAACAAAUGUGUAAGUAACUAUGCACGUCUUGACGGUACCUAAUCAGAAAGCCACGGCUAACUACGUGCCAGCAGCCGCGGUAAUACGUAGGUGGCAAGCGUUAUCCGGAAUUAUUGGGCGUAAAGCGCGCGUAGGCGGUUUUUUAAGUCUGAUGUGAAAGCCCACGGCUCAACCGUGGAGGGUCAUUGGAAACUGGAAAACUUGGGUGCAGAAGAGGAAAGUGGAAUUCCAUGUGUAGCAGUGAAAUGCGCAGAGAUAUGGAGGAACACCAGUGGCGAAGGCGACUUUCUGGUCUGUAACUGACGCUGAUGUGCGAAAGCGUGGGGAUCAAACAGG